This 253-nucleotide ribosomal RNA is filed under the name uncultured bacterium. RNAcentral's name for it is "partial 16S ribosomal RNA". It matches the Rfam family "Bacterial small subunit ribosomal RNA", at positions 524 to 776 of the family's 1533-position model. The record is from RNAcentral.
GACGUAGGGCGCGAGCGUUGUCCGGAUUUAUUGGGCGUAAAGAGCUCGUAGGCGGUCUGUUGCGUCCGCUGUGAAAACCCGGGGCUUAACCCCUGGCUUGCAGUGGAUACGGACAGACUAGAGGUAGGUAGGGGAGAAUGGAAUUCCCGGUGUAGCGGUGAAAUGCGCAGAUAUCGGGAGGAACGCCGGUGGCGAAGGCGGUUCUCUGGGCCUUACCUGACGCUGAGGAGCGAAAGCGUGGGGAGCGAACAGG